UACGUAGGGAGCAAGCGUUGUCCGGAAUCAUUGGGCGUAAAGCGCGCGUAGGUGGCUUCGUAAGUCCGUUGUGAAAGUCAAAGGCUCAACCUUUGAAAGCCGAUGGAUACUGCGGAGCUAGAGUACGGAAGAGGCGAGUGGAAUUCCUGGUGUAGCGGUGGAAUGCGCAGAUAUCAGGAGGAACACCACUAGCGAAGGCAGCUCGCUGGGACGUUACUGACACUGAGGCGCGAAAGCGUGGGGAGCGAACAGG
RNAcentral lists this ribosomal RNA (253 nucleotides) under uncultured bacterium. Its description in RNAcentral is "partial 16S ribosomal RNA". It matches the Rfam family "Bacterial small subunit ribosomal RNA", at positions 524 to 776 of the family's 1533-position model. The record is from RNAcentral.